This is a non-coding RNA of Chelonoidis abingdonii (Abingdon island giant tortoise), 455 nucleotides long. NCBI's taxonomy places the organism in Eukaryota, Metazoa, Chordata, Testudines, Testudinidae. The record is from the annotation of a RefSeq genome assembly.
GUUCUCCAGCUCUGGGGGUUUAAGAGAGAAUCGGAGGGUUCCAGCCACAGACCCAUUUGCCUCAGGAAGCCGAGCUCGUCUGGAUUCCCACCAUGGCCUGGGUCCCUCUGCUCCUCACGCUGCUCACUUACUUCUCAGGUUCUCUGGGCCAGUACGUGCUGACCCAGCCGCCUUCAGUGUCUGUCUGUCCAGGGCAAAAUGCUCAACUCACCUGCUCAGGGAACAAUAUUGAAGACUAUAGUGUGCACUGGUACCAACAGAAACCUGGAAGCGCCCUCGUGCUCGUGAUAUAUAGUGAUAAUGAGAGACCCUCCGGAAUCCCUGAUCGAUUCUCGGGUGCCAACUCCGGUAACGUGGCCACGUUAACCAUCACUGGAGUCCAGGCGCAGGACAAGGCUGAUUAUUACUGUCAGGUGUGGCACAGCAAUGCUGCUCACAAUGACCCAGCCAGAUAG